Molecule: ribosomal RNA, 414 nt
Filed under: uncultured bacterium
Lineage: Bacteria
Description: bacterial SSU rRNA
Rfam family: Bacterial small subunit ribosomal RNA
Source: RNAcentral
UUUAAUUCGAUGCAACGCGAAAAACCUUACCUGGUCUUGACAUCCACAGAAUUUUUUAGAAAUAAAAAAGUGCCCUCGGGAGCUGUGAGACAGGUGCUGCAUGGCUGUCGUCAGCUCGUGUUGUGAAAUGUUGGGUUAAGUCCCGCAACGAGCGCAACCCUUAUCUCUUGUUGCCAUCGGUUCGGCCGGGAACUCAGGAGAGACUGCCGGUUAUAAACCGGAGGAAGGUGGGGACGACGUCAAGUCAUCAUGGCCCUUACGACCAGGGCUACACACGUGCUACAAUGGUUUAUACAAAGAGAAGCAAAUCUGCAAAGACAAGCAAACCUCAUAAAGUAAAUCGUAGUCCGGACUGGAGUCUGCAACUCGACUCCACGAAGUCGGAAUCGCUAGUAAUCGUGGAUCAGAAUGCCA